CUUAAUGCAUCUUAAGGCACCUCUUCACAGAAGGCGGUGGAAGGCUGCUUACGUGAUGGCAUGUGGAUAGCGAUGCCAUCCGUUUGUUUUUUUCUCCUCCAUGACAGAGAAGCAGGAAAACAUUCCUAAAUUUAUUUAUAGACGUUAAAAAAAAAUCAGGCUUGGUUUUUUCCUGUAACUGUUCUUCAGCCGGCAGCAAGUAUAGCAGCAAGUAUACAGCAGCAAGUAUACAGCAGCAAGUAUACAGCAGCAAGUACAGCAGCAGCAAGUACAGCAGCAGUACUUUAUGAGUUGUUGUGUUUAUUCCCUGCCUUUUGGCUUUACUCAAGAAAACCAGUUGUGUUUCUCAGAGCAACUGUAUUGUUUUAUUUGCCACUCUCUUCACUUUGUCCAUUAUAGUACAAUAGAUUGUCCUUGUCCCGUCUCCAAAUUGGAAGCUCCCUAGGUGGUGGUCAGGCUGUUGAUGAGAUUUGUAUUCUAUCAAAGCUCCAUUUUAGAUAAUCUAUCAUCAUUUUUUAUACGCAGUAAGUCGCUGAUUUUGUUUCUUUUUUUCAAACAGUUUUGAUUUGAAGUUCCUUUAAAGGCUGUUGGAGCUUUUGCAAAUACCCAGCUAAUGAAAGGCACUUAAGAUUGGGCCCAUGUGCAUCAUCACAUUGAAGUUUUCUGUCUAAAGGAAGGUUCCAGCUACCUGUUACCCUUUUGCUAAACACAGUUGCAGUGUUGCAGUGUAUUUCAUGACAAAAGUGUACUCUAGUUUUCUGUGAAAUGAUUAUUUUCUCUGAAAUGAUUCUUGGUCAUGUUGAGCUUCUAAAUGUUAAAGAGAACAUAGUGCUUUUGACCUGUGGAAAUCUCAUCUUGGUACCAUGGUGCUGCACAGACCAUCAGGAAGAACUGAAAAGUUCAGGCAACUUGAGAAAAUAAAGUCACCACCAGCAAGAAGCUGUCUAAAAUAACCGGAAGAUUAUAACCCAAGCACGUGGAGGAGUGUGCUAGUGAGUAGAAUGUUAUGAAAGCUACUAGAGGUCCUCCAUAGAUGCAUGUGCUAGUCCUAAGGAGAAGGAAGAGGAGAAGGAUUGCCACGGAGGAACACCUGAAGUUUCAGUUGAGCACUUUGUUUGGAAAGUUGUCCAAGGCUGGAGUUGUGAGAGCUGGGAAAGACCUCACAAGCUUCUCUAAUUCAAGUCCUUGUUUCACAUAUGAGAAUGCAGAGGCCCUGAGAAGUUGAUUCCCAGGCCUGCAUGCUGGCCUGGAACUAGAGCCUGGGUCUCCUCUUGCUUUUUCCAGCUGUCUGCCCAGGUAGCUCCCCAAGGCAGGCAUGGAGGCAGAGCUGCUUUGGGUUCCAGGGGGCAGGUUUGGGCUGGGGCCUGCUGUGUGACCACAGUCUCCCAUCUUAGAUUGAAGCUACAUCGCUGUGUGCAUCUAACUCUUGAUUCACGGUCUGACCGACGCCUUGGUUUCUGGAGAACUGCCCUCGUUUAUGGAAGAGUCACUGUCAUCAGGAGCCAUCCCAGGGAGAGGCUCAGUGGGAAGUGUAAAGGUGGAGCAAGUAAACCGGCUCCAGAAGAGAAGGCGAAGAAGGACUAUUUCUGUUUAGAUUUGCUUAACCGCAUUUUCACUUUCUUGGGAACCCCUGAUGGAGUUCAAGGUCAUAGAAGAGAAGAAAUCAGACACUGCUACAGGACUCUUGCUCUUGGUUCAGAUUAUUCAAUGGGAGGGGAGAAGAGAGUAGUCGCAAGUGAUUGUUGUAGAUUUUGUCUCAGCUUUUUGUUUUUCUUUGUAUCAAACCUGUUUUGAGAUCAUACACUGUUACAGAGAAAGAGAGGAGGCAUAUUAUAAACGUGUGGACUUCAGUGUUAUUCCUUCUCUUCAAAAUGAUGUUCCAGGUGUCUAGAGGGUGAGGUAUGUCAUUUACAUGAAGGUUAAGAAUAAAACAGAAAGUGCCUCUA
RNAcentral lists this long non-coding RNA (1946 nucleotides) under Homo sapiens (human). RNAcentral's name for it is "non-protein coding lnc-MFSD14B-18:1". The record is from RNAcentral. Lineage: Eukaryota; Metazoa; Chordata; Mammalia; Primates; Hominidae.